UACGUAGGGGGCUAGCGUUGUCCGGAUUUAUUGGGCGUAAAGAGCGUGUAGGCGGCCAGGUAGGUCUGGUGUGAAAACUCGAGGCUUAACCUCGAGAUGUCAUCGGAAACCAUUUGGCUAGAGUCCGGAAGAGGAGAGUGGAAUUCCUGGUGUAGCGGUGAAAUGCGCAGAUAUCAGGAAGAACACCGAUGGCGAAGGCAGGUCACUGGGCCGCAACUGACGCUGAGGAGCGAAAGCAUGGGGAGCGAACAGG
This 253-nucleotide ribosomal RNA is filed under the name uncultured bacterium. RNAcentral describes it as "partial 16S ribosomal RNA". It matches the Rfam family "Bacterial small subunit ribosomal RNA", at positions 524 to 776 of the family's 1533-position model. The record is from RNAcentral.